GCGGAUAUGAUGUAAGGGUAGCCUCUCUCGUUGCCAACGAGAAUGUACGAGUUCGAAUCUCGUUAUCCGCUCCA
Molecule: transfer RNA, 74 nt
Filed under: Candidatus Endolissoclinum sp.
Lineage: Bacteria; Pseudomonadati; Pseudomonadota; Alphaproteobacteria; Rhodospirillales; Rhodospirillaceae
Description: tRNA-Gly
Rfam family: tRNA
About the family: Transfer RNA (tRNA) molecules are approximately 80 nucleotides in length. Their secondary structure includes four short double-helical elements and three loops (D, anti-codon, and T loops). Further hydrogen bonds mediate the characteristic L-shaped molecular structure. tRNAs have two regions of fundamental functional importance: the anti-codon, which is responsible for specific mRNA codon recognition, and the 3' end, to which the tRNAs corresponding amino acid is attached (by aminoacyl-tRNA synthetases). tRNAs cope with the degeneracy of the genetic code in two manners: having more than one tRNA (with a specific anti-codon) for a particular amino acid; and 'wobble' base-pairing, i.e. permitting non-standard base-pairing at the 3rd anti-codon position.
Source: RNAcentral